GAAGGGCCGGCGGGGCGGCCGGAGCGGGUGCGAGCUGCUCCGCCCGGGGGAACGCGCGGGGCCGGGGGGACGGAGCGGCAGCGCGGCGCCUCCACCCCCAGGCAGCGUGCCCGGCCAGACAUCGCUGCGUUCCCAUCCGGCCCCUCGGGAGAUCCUGCCCUGUUGCUAAUUGUCGAGAGCUGUCCAGAGUCCUCCUCCAUGUGAUCCUGCUGUGCCCCAUCCUGCUGUGCUCCUGAGGUGUGCCAUUCCCUGCUCUGAUGACAGCUCCCACCAGGAUGCUGAGCAGCAGCCACCGGCAGGGAGGGAGGCCAGUGGUGGGCACGGAACUGUAAAGUCACAGCCAAAAGUUCUGAGAGCACGAGUGAAGAGUCUGAGCUGACCCAAAAGCUGUCUCCAAGCUCCAGCUGGAUGUCGUGGGAAGCUCUGCAAGCUGGAGUUCAAGGGGAUGCUGAUUGAGGGACCAAAAAUGUGAGCUUGGGACAGCAGCUGCUCCUUCCAGGCUUGGAGUGCUCCCAGUGCUCGGUGCAGGGACCUUCUAGCAUGCUCCUUCAGCCAGGCCACUCAGUGGGUGCCAGCAGCAAGACACCAGGCUGACCCUACAGCGACUGGCACUGCCCCUGCCAAGCAGGAAUCGUGUUGGGUGAGAGGCUUUUCUGACUCAGCUGGCACUGGGCUGGGCUGGGAGGGGCUGGAAGGAAGGAAGGAGACCUUCUCUCCUCUGGUUUGUGAGCACAGUUACCCUGCUUCGUGUCUCUCAUGCCUCUUGUUCUUGUCUUUCUUCCUUGUUUGAAUUCCUCCUUUGAGUGUUUCUGUGCUGGCUGUGUGAAGGCUAUGUGCUUAAAUGGGUG
This 848-nucleotide long non-coding RNA is filed under the name Camarhynchus parvulus. RNAcentral's name for it is "lncRNA (ENSCPVG00000018433.1)". The record is from RNAcentral. Lineage: Eukaryota; Metazoa; Chordata; Aves; Passeriformes; Thraupidae.